RNAcentral lists this ribosomal RNA (492 nucleotides) under uncultured bacterium. Its description in RNAcentral is "partial 16S ribosomal RNA". It matches the Rfam family "Bacterial small subunit ribosomal RNA", at positions 29 to 507 of the family's 1533-position model. The record is from RNAcentral.
AGUGAACGCUGGCGAUAGGCCUAACACAUGCAAGUCGAACGGCAGCACAGUAAGAGCUUGCUCUUACGGGUGGCGAGUGGCGGACGGGUGAGGAAUACAUCGGAAUCUACUUUUUCGUGGGGGAUAACGUAGGGAAACUUACGCUAAUACCGCAUACGACCUACGGGUGAAAGCAGGGGAUCUUCGGACCUUGCGCGAUUGAAUGAGCCGAUGUCGGAUUAGCUAGUUGGCGGGGUAAAGGCCCACCAAGGCGACGAUCCGUAGCUGGUCUGAGAGGAUGAUCAGCCACGCUGGAACUGAGACACGGUCCAGACUCCUACGGGAGGCAGCAGUGGGGAAUAUUGGACAAUGGGCGCAAGCCUGAUCCAGCCAUACCGCGUGGGUGAAGAAGGCCUUCGGGUUGUAAAGCCCUUUUGUUGGGAAAGAAAAGCAGCAGGUUAAUACCCCGCUGUUCUGACGGUACCCAAAGAAUAAGCACCGGCUAACUUCGUG